ACCCGAUAGGGACAAACGGUGAUUCAAGGCCGAGAGGUGAUGAGGUCGUCUCUUCGAGACGGACACUCAGUGAUCCCACACUUCCAAGAAAAGCUGCGCGCGGAGUCCCUCUAGUGAUCGUACUCCAAACCGACUCAGGUGGGCGGGGUGAAUAUCCCAAGGCGCGUGAGAGAACUCUGGUUAAGGAACUCGGCAAAUUUGCACCGUAACUUCGGGAGAAGGUGUGCCCCUACGGGUGAAGAGCUUGCGCUCGGAGCCUGGGGGGGUCGCAGUGAAAUGGCGGUUGUUGACUGUUUACUAAAAACACAGGACUCUGCGAAGUCGUAAGACGACGUAUAGGGUCUGAUGCCUGCCCGGUGCUGGAAGGUUAAGGGGAUCUGUUAGGGGCAACCCGAAGCUUUGAACCGAAGCCCCAGUAAACGGCGGCCGUAACAAUAACGGUCCUAAGGUAGCGAAAUUCCUUGUCGGGUAAGUUCCGACCUGCACGAAUGGCAUAACAACAUCCGCACUGUCUCGACCAGAGACUCAGCGAAAUUGCAUCGGGGGUGAAGAUGCCCUCUACCCGCGACAAGACGGAAAGACCCCAUGAACCUUCACUGUAACUUGGCAGUGAAUUUCGGAUUAUUCUGCGUAGGAUAGGUGGGAGGCGUUGAUAUCGGGUUUCCGGAUUCGAUGGAGCCAACCUUGAAAUACCACCCUGGAUAAUCUGGAAUUCUAACCUACACCCGUAAUCCGGGUGAGGGACACUGUCUGGCGCAGUUUGACUGGGGCGGUCACCUCCCAAAAUGUAACGGAGGUGCGCGAAGGUCCCCUCAGGCUGAUUGGAAACCAGCCGUAGAGUGUAAACGCAUAAGGGGGCUUUACUGUAAGACCGACAGGUCGAGCAGUUGCGAAAGCAGGCGUUAGUGAUCCGGUGGUACCGCAUGGAAGGGCCAUCGCUCAACGGAUAAAAGGUACUCUGGGGAUAACAGGCUGAUCGUGCCUGAGAGUUCACAUCGGCGGCACGGUUUGGCACCUCGAUGUCGGCUCGUCGCAUCCUGGGGCUGGAGCAGGUCCCAAGGGUUUGGCUGUUCGCCAAUUAAAGCGGCACGCGAGCUGGGUUUAAAACGUCGUGAGACAGUUUGGUUCCUAUCUGUCGUGGGCGUAGGACACUUGAGAGGAUCUGCCUUUAGUACGAGAGGACCAGGGUGGACGUACCUCUGGUGCGCCGGUUGUCACGCCAGUGGCAUAGCCGGGUAGCCAAGUACGGAAUGGAUAACCGCUGAAAGCAUAUAAGCGGGAAGCCAGCCUCAAGAUUAGGUGUCCCUGCCGAAAGGCACUCAAGGCCACUUGUAGACUACAAGGUGAUAGGCCGGGUGUGGAAGCACAGCAAUGUGCGGAGCUAACCGGUACUAAUAGGCCCGUGAGGCUUAACCUC
This 1417-nucleotide ribosomal RNA is filed under the name metagenome. RNAcentral's name for it is "bacterial LSU rRNA". It matches the Rfam family "Bacterial large subunit ribosomal RNA", at positions 1527 to 2925 of the family's 2925-position model. The record is from RNAcentral.